GAUGCUGGACUGGUGGGCACCUCGGAUGCAGCUGCUCUCCUGUGCCUGUGACGCGGGGCAAAUAGGAAGUGGUGAUUUCUAUACUCAGUGCUCAGAACAGUGAGCACUAAGAAUGGUCUGUAGCCGAACAAGC
Suricata suricatta (meerkat) is the source of this 133-nucleotide small nucleolar RNA. The record is from Ensembl. NCBI's taxonomy places the organism in Eukaryota, Metazoa, Chordata, Mammalia, Carnivora, Herpestidae.